Molecule: ribosomal RNA, 433 nt
Filed under: uncultured bacterium
Lineage: Bacteria
Description: partial 16S ribosomal RNA
Rfam family: Bacterial small subunit ribosomal RNA
Source: RNAcentral
AACGAACGCUGGCGGCAUGCCUAACACAUGCAAGUCGAACGAGACCUUCGGGUCUAGUGGCGCACGGGUGCGUAACGCGUGGGAACCUGCCCUUAGGCUCGGAAUAACUCCCCGAAAGGGGUGCUAAUACCGGAUAAUGUCUUCGGACCAAAGAUUUAUCGCCUUUGGAUGGGCCCGCGUUGGAUUAGCUAGUUGGUAGGGUAAAAGCCUACCAAGGAGACGAUCCAUAGCUGGUCUGAGAGGAUGAUAAGCCACACUGGGACUGAGACACGGACCAGACUGCUACGGAAGGCAGCAGUGGGGAAUAUUGGACAAGGGGCGAAAGCCUGAUAAAGCAAUGCGGGGUGAGUGAUGAAGGCCUUAGGGUUGUAAAGCUGUUUUACACGGGAUGAUAAUGACAGUAACGGGAGAAUAAGCACCGGCUAACUACGUG